Molecule: ribosomal RNA, 500 nt
Filed under: uncultured bacterium
Lineage: Bacteria
Description: partial 16S ribosomal RNA
Rfam family: Bacterial small subunit ribosomal RNA
Source: RNAcentral
AUUGAACGCUGGCGGCAUGCUUUACACAUGCAAGUCGAACGGUAACAGGGUGCUUGCACCGCUGACGAGUGGCGAACGGGUGAGUAAUGCGUCGGAACGUGCCGAGUAGUGGGGGAUAACGCAGCGAAAGUUGUGCUAAUACCGCAUACGUACUGAGGUAGAAAGUGGGGGACCUUCGGGCCUCACGCUAUUCGAGCGGCCGACGUCUGAUUAGCUAGUAGGUGAGGUAAAGGCUCACCUAGGCGACGAUCAGUAGCGGGUCUGAGAGGAUGAUCCGCCACACUGGGACUGAGACACGGCCCAGACUCCUACGGGAGGCAGCAGUGGGGAAUUUUGGACAAUGGGCGAAAGCCUGAUCCAGCCAUGCCGCGUGUCUGAAGAAGGCCUUCGGGUUGUAAAGGACUUUUGUCAGGGAGGAAAUCCCUAGUGCUAAUAACACUGGGGGAUGACAGUACCUGAAGAAUAAGCACCGGCUAACUACGUGCCAGCAGCCGCCGCCG